RNAcentral lists this ribosomal RNA (543 nucleotides) under uncultured bacterium. RNAcentral's name for it is "bacterial SSU rRNA". It matches the Rfam family "Bacterial small subunit ribosomal RNA", at positions 777 to 1319 of the family's 1533-position model. The record is from RNAcentral.
AAUAGAUACCCGGGUAGUCUACGCCGUAAACGAUGUCUACUAGCCGUUGGGGCCUUUGAGGCUUUAGUGGCGCAGCUAACGCGAUAAGUAGACCGCCUGGGGAGUACGGUCGCAAGACUAAAACUCAAAUGAAUUGACGGGGGCCCGCACAAGCGGUGGAGCAUGUGGUUUAAUUCGAUGCAACGCGAAGAACCCUACCUGGUCUUGACAUAGUAAGAACUUUCCAGAGAUGGAUUGGUGCCUUCGGGCACUUACAUACAGGUGCUGCACGGCUGUCGUCAGCUCGUGUCGUGAGAUGUUGGGUUAAGUCCCGCAACGAGCGCAACCCUUUUCCUUAUUUGCCAGCGGGUUAAGCCGGGAACUUUAAGGAUACUGCCAGUGACAAACUGGAGGAAGGCGGGGACGACGUCAAGUCAUCAUGGCCCUUACGACCAGGGCUACACACGUGCUACAAUGGUCGGUACAAAGGGUUGCUACCUAGCGAUAGGAUGCUAAUCUCAAAAAGCCGAUCGUAGUCCGGAUUGGAGUCUGCAACUCGACUCC